ACAAGUAAUCCUCCCGACCCUGGUCAUUAGUAAUUCAUAUUCAGCUAUCAAUUAAAAUGUUGUUUGCUCUUUGUUUUUUUCAGACUCCUGGAUCAGCUACCUCUAUUCACAGCCACAGUUCACUUCAUGGACAUGCACACAGAACUCCCAUAUCCUACAACACUCCUACAAGAACUCAGCGUCAGACUCCUAAUGCCUUCCAGUUCCCGUUUAUGAGUGGAUUAUCAUUACAGUCACCCAGGCACUGAUGAAGCUGGGAUAUUUUUGUCAGUUGAUGUUGACAGUUGACAUCAGCUUUGUUUUCUCAGUUAGUGAAAGAAAAACAUGUUUUUGCCCAGUAACAG
Molecule: long non-coding RNA, 344 nt
Organism: Gymnodraco acuticeps
Lineage: Eukaryota; Metazoa; Chordata; Actinopteri; Perciformes; Bathydraconidae
Exons: 3
Source: RefSeq, a predicted model, not a curated record